AGUUCGGAUUGCAGGCUGCAACCCGCCUGCAUGAAGUUGGAAUUGCUAGUAAUCGCGGAUCAGCAUGCCGCGGUGAAUACGUUCCCUGGCCUUGUACACACCGCCCGUCACACCAUGGGAGCCGGUAAUACCCGAAGUCAGUAGCCUAACCGCAAGGGGGGCGCUGCCGAAGGUAGGAUUGGCGACUGGGGUGAAGUCGUAACAAGGUAAC
This 211-nucleotide ribosomal RNA is filed under the name uncultured bacterium. Its description in RNAcentral is "partial 16S ribosomal RNA". It matches the Rfam family "Bacterial small subunit ribosomal RNA", at positions 1290 to 1500 of the family's 1533-position model. The record is from RNAcentral.